AAUCCAUUAAAUUAAUAUGAAGAAGAAUACAAGGAGACCAACAUUUUAUGCUUUAUGAUAUACUAUUAGCGUUAUUUGCUACCAUGUAUACUAUUAGUGAUAUUCUUCCUUCUACAUCCUUGAUAAAUAGUGAUCUAUAAAAUUAAAAUUUGAAAAGUUAUUGCAUCUUUAAAUGACUUUUCAAGGCAAUUUGCUUUAUAGCAUAUUGAUUUCCCCUUGGAAAUAUCCACGUUUAGAUAAAAGUUAGAACAUAACAUGUGAUAUUCCUGAGGGAAAACCAAACAUGCUUUAAAUCAACCAAAGUCAGCCCUAUGGUUUUGCUGCUUUUAGGAAAGAUGAGCUCUUGGUGAUCUCGCGAACCGGCUUAUCCGUGUACCGAAUGACGUUAUAAACCCAUGCACCAGCCACAGCUCCAAGAAUAGGAGACACCAAGUAUAUCCAUAUUCCUCUGUAUUCACUGUGUAGAAGAGCAGGUCCUAUACUUCUUGCUGGAUUCAUUGAUGCUCCUGUGAUUGGUCUGUCAUAUAAGAAAUAAUGUCAUUAGAAAUUUGCAGAAUCAUAAGGAUUUACUUCAUAUACACUUUUAUUACUGAAUCCUUAUAAUAAAAUUUGUGAUUGUUCUAUUCAAAGUUUUUACUGCAUCACAUGAUCUUAACCAUGAAGAGACAAACACCCAAUCACACAAAUGAGAUCAUGACUUGUUAUCUGUUUCCAAAAGGUGAUCAACAUCUUUGAGUGAAUAAAUUAAUUUCUUAAAGACGUAAGCAUAUGAUAUAUUAAUUAACUUUGGGAUAAGUUAAUACCCUACCCUGCAAACAUCACAUUCAAAAGUACAGUAGAUCCAACUGCAAUCCCAGCCAACUCACCAAUCUGCAAGUUUCAAAAUAAAACGAAUAAAUAAAAGCCAAUAAAUAUAAUGGUCUAACAAUUACAAAUAUUCAAAUAUGGUCUUUUUGUUUCGUAUAAAGCUUUGUCUUGUUAUGUAAACUACUAGCUGCUAGCAUUCUUCCAAAUGAUUCAAAACGUUACAAUACAACUAUAUUUAGACAACUAGUCAAUUUCAUUUUCUCUUUUUAUAUUAGAGUUUGAAAGAUGAUUAGCCAACCCUUAUUUUGCUAGACACGUAUUAAAUCAAAAUACUUUAUACCAAAAUAAAGAGUGAUUAAAUUAGUUAAUAACAAAAUUAACAAGCAAGAAACAAAGCAUUAUGAUGAACAAACACGUUACCGCUCUAUUAUCAGUGGCAACUCCAGAUAUGAUAAACAUAAGGUAAAAAGUGAUGAUGAAUUCAAUCACAAAAGCUUGAAGGUCAGACCCAGCUGGAAGUGUUCCAACAAAUUGAUUAUGUUUGCCGGUAAAUAUUAGUCUAAGAGUUCCACUUGCAAGUGUGGAUCCAAAGACUUGAGCUGCUACAUAAGCUGGUACCUAUACAAUAAAUGGAAAGAUUAAUGGGUAGUUAGCAAGGUUUUAAAUUACGGAGAAUCACAGUCAAAUACGAUCAAUGUGGCCUCAAUUGCAAUUUCGACAACAAAAAAAAAUUAUUAUGUCGCAGCCUAGAUCACGGUCACAAACCUUUAUUUAAAUUCUGGUUGAUAGAUAAGCUAUCUUUCAUCACAUUAUUUUUAUAGCUACGUGUGUGUGAACACCCAAUUUUUUAUUUUAUUCCCUAUUGAAUGAAAUUGUGUUCACAAUGUGCAAUAAUUGACAUGAUUUCUUUGGAUAUUAUAAAGUAAUAUGAAAAGGUCAAAAUAAGUAAGAAGAAGAAAUUAAUUUUUCAAGCAAAGUAGGCUGUAGAUCAUGAACUAAUUUGAGUCUAAUUUCCUAACAAGUUCUGCCAAAAAAAAAGUAAAAAAUCAACGUGAUAGUUGAAAAAAUGGUGAGUUUGGUGCACCUGUUUCAAGGGAAAUCUUUUGGUGCUGGCAAAAGCAAUGGUAACUGCAGGAUUGAAAUGAGCACCAGAGAUGUGACCAAGAGAGUAAACCAGCACCAUCACAGCAAGUCCCCAAACAAUUGAAAUUCCAGGAAGUGUUACAACAUUUUCAUUGUUCUUGUUCACCAACACCGAAGCACAACCGGCAAAUAUCAAGAAAUAUGUGCCUAUCACCUCAGCUACCAACUGCAUCAAUAUUGUCACAUUCCAUAGCAAAUAAGUUAUGAACAAAGAAAACAUUUGAACGUGUUUUUGAGACAAAAAGAAAGAAAAGGAGACACCUUCUGCAAGAAAGAAGCGGUGGCAUGAGAGGUUGAGUCUUCACUUUUGUUAGAGACAUCCUUGUUUACGUUUAAAACAAUCUCAUUGGUUGCAUUGCUAGCUGAAUUUUCUGCCAUCACUAUUAGAGGAACAAGAAAAUGGUUGAUGAAUGAACAAUGAACUUGCUUUCUUUGAGAUGGACCAAACCAAACAAUCUCUUUGAUCCUAUUUAUAAUAUCUAGUUUUCGUAAAAAAUUAAAUUUGAUCUUACAAGGUUGUUGAGAAGUACUAUAAUGCUUGAACGUGAGAAAAUGACCUUUUUAUAAUAUUCCUGUGAUUUACGGUGGUGUAUUGUAUUAGAGAAGUAAAUCAAUAUGAUUGAUACAGAUGAUGCAC
This 2587-nucleotide long non-coding RNA is filed under the name Medicago truncatula (barrel medic). RNAcentral's name for it is "lncRNA gene49189". The record is from RNAcentral. Lineage: Eukaryota; Viridiplantae; Streptophyta; Magnoliopsida; Fabales; Fabaceae.